RNAcentral lists this ribosomal RNA (500 nucleotides) under uncultured Glomeromycotina. Its description in RNAcentral is "partial small subunit ribosomal RNA". It matches the Rfam family "Eukaryotic small subunit ribosomal RNA", at positions 591 to 1092 of the family's 1831-position model. Lineage: Eukaryota; Fungi; Glomeromycota. The record is from RNAcentral.
CCAAUAGCGUAUAUUAAAGUUGUUGCAGUUAAAAAGCUCGUAGUUGAAUUUCGGGAUCAGUAGGUUGGUCAUGCCACUGGUAUGUACUGGUCUCACUGAUUCCUCCUUCCUGAUGAGCCGUAAUGCCAUUAAUUUGGUGUUGCGAGGAAUCUGGACUGUUACUUUGAAAAAAUUAGAGUGUUUAAAGCAAGCUAAUGCUUGAAUACAUUAGCAUGGAAUAAUGAAAUAGGACGUUCGAUCUUAUUUUGUUGGUUUCUAAGAUUGACGUAAUGAUUAAUAGGGAUAGUUGGGGGCAUUAGUAUUCAAUUGUCAGAGGUGAAAUUCUUGGAUUUAUUGAAGACUAACUACUGCGAAAGCAUUUGCCAAGGAUGUUUUCAUUAAUCAAGAACGAAAGUUAGGGGAUCGAAGACGAUCAGAUACCGUCGUAGUCUUAACCAUAAACUAUGCCGACUAGGGAUCGGAUGAUGUUAAUUUUUUAAUGACUCAUUCGGCGCCUUACG